This 559-nucleotide ribosomal RNA is filed under the name uncultured bacterium. Its description in RNAcentral is "bacterial SSU rRNA". It matches the Rfam family "Bacterial small subunit ribosomal RNA", at positions 338 to 916 of the family's 1533-position model. The record is from RNAcentral.
CCUACGGGAGGCAGCAGUAGGGAAUUUUCCACAAUGGGCGAAAGCCUGAUGGAGCAAUACCGCGUGCAGGAUGAAGGCCUUCGGGUCGUAAACUGCUUUUAUGUGCGAAGAAUUUGACGGUAACACAUGAAUAAGGAUCGGCUAACUACGUGCCAGCAGCCGCGGUCAUACGUAGGAUCCAAGCGUUAUCCGGAAUUACUGGGCGUAAAGAGUUGCGUAGGUGGCAUUAUAAGUGGAGCGUGAAAGCGUGCGGCUCAACCGCAUUAUUGCGUUCCAAACUGUGAAGCUUGAGUAUGGGAGAGGUAGAUGGAAUUUCUAGUGUAGGAGUGAAAUCCGUAGAUAUUAGAAGGAACACCGAUGGCGUAGGCAGUCUACUGGCCCAUUACUGACACUAAGGCACGAAAGCGUGGGGAGCAAACGGGAUUAGAUACCCCGGUAGUCCACGCUGUAAACUAUGGAUGCUAGCUGUGACACACAUCGACCUGUGUCGUAGCGAAGUUAACGCGUUAAGCAUCCGCCUGGGGAUCGGUCGCAAGAUUAAAACUUAAGGAAUUGACGG